This 253-nucleotide ribosomal RNA is filed under the name uncultured bacterium. RNAcentral's name for it is "partial 16S ribosomal RNA". It matches the Rfam family "Bacterial small subunit ribosomal RNA", at positions 524 to 776 of the family's 1533-position model. The record is from RNAcentral.
UACGUAGGGGGCUAGCGUUGUCCGGAUUUAUUGGGCGUAAAGAGCUCGUAGGCGGCCUGUCGCGUCGGAUGUGAAAGCCCGGGGCUCAACCCCGGGUCUGCAUUCGAUACGGGCAGGCUGGAGUGUGGUAGGGGAGAUCGGAAUUCCUGGUGUAGCGGUGAAAUGCGCAGAUAUCAGGAGGAACACCGGUGGCGAAGGCGGAUCUCUGGGCCAUUACUGACGCUGAGGAGCGAAAGCGUGGGGAGCGAACAGG